Molecule: long non-coding RNA, 879 nt
Organism: Amphibalanus amphitrite
Lineage: Eukaryota; Metazoa; Arthropoda; Thecostraca; Balanomorpha; Balanidae
Exons: 3
Source: RefSeq, a predicted model, not a curated record
GGUCUAUCGGUUUUCAUGGUUAAAUAAAUUCAGUGUCAAUUGUUACCUCACAGCUGUAGAGUUACAGGUUCAUUGAAUCGUUUCCCCGACCUCAGUACCGCUGCAACGUAGAUUUGGGGAAUCCAGCGCGGACUGUCGACCCCAUUGGAGUUGAACCGUCAUGUUUGCCCGCUGUAGCAUUUCCCCCGUCUGUGUGAUUUGUAAGGUUCAAAUGACUCAGACUGUUAGCUGACGAGCCGCCUUACCAGAAGGAAACCACCCGAUCGUCGUCACUGGCUGCAGUGUCCGCCAGAGAGCUGCUCCUGAGAGCUGCUGCGUCCGCCAGAGAGCUGCUCCUGAGAGCUGCUGUGUCUGCGAGAGAGCUGCUCCUGAGAGCGGAGUCCCGCGAUUGCGCCUCUCCUGGUUCUGCGGAGGUGGCGCUCCUUCUGGUACGUACAGUCCAGGCGCUGAUCAACCUACAGAACGAGGCGGAGCGCUCGUCGCUGCAGAUGGCGCCACCGGGGCUGGCGAGCGACCUCCAGCCGCCCUCCGUGGAGCUCACCGCUGGCACAGGUGGCAGCACCGUCAACUUAUUGCCGGCGCCAAAACGACCCAGAUCGGCGGAUGUCACCGCCCGCGGCCAUCAGAGGUCAUCGCCGGGGUCAAUCGGCUCGGCGGGCCGGUCUAGCUGCCAGGGGCCGACUGCCGCCGGCGCCGCCCCGUCCGCCACCCGGCGAGGCAGCACUCAUCAAUCAAAUCCGGCCCGAGCCCCCCUCCCCCCUUCCCCAGCCACGUGGCUGGUCGACUUUCAUCUGAAUGCCCCCUCACUCUUACGAAAAACACUUUGGUGCUUAUGUUUUUUUUUUAUCUGUGAAUAUCUCAAUAAAAUACCAAGUACGG